GCCCAGCCGUAAACUUUUAUUUACAUCUAAAUCGCCAGGGAACUACGAGCUAAGCUUAAAACCCAAAGGACUUGACGGUACCCCACAUCCUACUAGAGGAGCCUGUUCUGUAAUCGAUAAUCCGCGUUUAACCUCACCAUCUUUAGUUAAUCAGCCUGUAUACCUCCGUCGUCAGCUUACCACGUGAGCGCAAAUCAGUGGGCCUAAUGUUAUUACACCAAUACGUCAGGUCAAGGUGCAGCAAAUAAGAUGGGAAGAGAUGGGCUACACUUUCUAUUUUAGAAAAAACGGAAAACUACCUAUGAAACCUAGUUGGAAGGCGGAUUUAGCAGUAAAAAGGAAUCAACACGUCCAUUUUAACUUGGCACUGGGGUGUGUACACACCGCCCGUCACCCU
RNAcentral lists this ribosomal RNA (397 nucleotides) under Sclerophrys pusilla (lesser cross-marked toad). RNAcentral describes it as "partial 12S ribosomal RNA". It matches the Rfam family "Bacterial small subunit ribosomal RNA", at positions 794 to 1403 of the family's 1533-position model. Lineage: Eukaryota; Metazoa; Chordata; Amphibia; Anura; Bufonidae. The record is from RNAcentral.